GCAUUGGUGGUCCUGUGGUGAAAUGCCUGCUUGCCACGCGGGUAUCCGGGUUCGAGUCCUGGCCAGUGCA
This 70-nucleotide transfer RNA is filed under the name Angiostrongylus costaricensis. It matches the Rfam family "tRNA". From Rfam's summary of the family: Transfer RNA (tRNA) molecules are approximately 80 nucleotides in length. Their secondary structure includes four short double-helical elements and three loops (D, anti-codon, and T loops). The record is from Rfam by way of RNAcentral. Lineage: Eukaryota; Metazoa; Nematoda; Chromadorea; Rhabditida; Metastrongylidae.